UGGGGAAUCUUGCGCAAUGGGCGAAAGCCUGACGCAGCGACGCCGCGUGGGGGAGGAAGCUUUUCGGAGUGUAAACCUCUGUCAGGGGGGAAGAAUGGGCCGGGGAGGAAAUGCCUCGGUUUUGACGGUACCUCCAAAGGAAGCACCGGCUAACUCUGUGCCAGCAGCCGCGGUAAUACAGAGGGUGCGAGCGUUGUUCGGAAUUACUGGGCGUAAAGCGCGCGCAGGCGGUCCUUUAAGUCUACCCGUGAAAUGCCGGAGCUCAACUCCGUGCACGCCGGGGAGUACUGGGGAGCUGGAGACAUGGUAGUGGCAAGCGGAAUUCCGGGUGUAGCGGUGGAAUGCGUAGAUAUCCGGAAGAACACCUGAGGCGAAGGCGGCUUGCUGGGCAUGAU
RNAcentral lists this ribosomal RNA (395 nucleotides) under uncultured bacterium. RNAcentral describes it as "bacterial SSU rRNA". It matches the Rfam family "Bacterial small subunit ribosomal RNA", at positions 355 to 739 of the family's 1533-position model. The record is from RNAcentral.